RNAcentral lists this ribosomal RNA (460 nucleotides) under uncultured bacterium. RNAcentral's name for it is "partial 16S ribosomal RNA". It matches the Rfam family "Bacterial small subunit ribosomal RNA", at positions 338 to 795 of the family's 1533-position model. The record is from RNAcentral.
CCUACGGGUGGCAGCAGUGAGGAAUAUUGGUCAAUGGACGAGAGUCUGAACCAGCCAAGUAGCGUGAAGGAUGACUGCCCUAUGGGUUGUAAACUUCUUUUAUAUGGGAAUAAAACGUUCCACGUGUGGGAUUUUGUAUGUACCAUAUGAAUAAGGAUCGGCUAACUCCGUGCCAGCAGCCGCGGUAAUACGGAGGAUCCGAGCGUUAUCCGGAUUUAUUGGGUUUAAAGGGAGCGUAGGUGGAUUGUUAAGUCAGUUGUGAAAGUUUGCGGCUCAACCGUAAAAUUGCAGUUGAAACUGGCAGUCUUGAGUACAGUAGAGGUGGGCGGAAUUCGUGGUGUAGCGGUGAAAUGCUUAGAUAUCACGAAGAACUCCGAUUGCGAAGGCAGUUCACUGAACUGCAACUGACACUGAGGCUCGAAAGUGUGGGUAUCAAACAGGAUUAGAUACCCCUGUAGUG